CUUAAAGGAAUUGACGGGGGCCCGCACAAGCGGUGGAGCAUGUGGUUUAAUUUGACGCAACGCGCAGAACCUUACCAGGCCUUGACAUCCCGUGACCGGCACAGAGAUGUGUUUUUCCCUUCGGGGACGCGGAGACAGGUGCUGCAUGGCUGUCGUCAGCUCGUGUCGUGAGAUGUUGGGUUAAGUCCCGCAACGAGCGCAACCCUCGCCUUUAGUUGCCAUCAUUCAGUUGGGCACUCUAGAGGGACUGCCGGUGACAAGCCGGAGGAAGGUGGGGAUGACGUCAAGUCCUCAUGGCCCUUACGGCCUGGGCUACACACGUGCUACAAUGGUGGUGACAGAGAGCAGCGACCUGGCGACAGGUAGCCAAUCUCAAAAAACCAUCUCAGUUCAGAUUGCACUCUGCAACUCGGGUGCAUGAAGGUGGAAUCGCUAGUAAUCGCAGAACAGCAGGCUGCGGUGAAUACGUUCCCGGGCCUUGUACACACCGCCCGUCACACCAUGGGAGUUGGUUCGGCCUUAAGACGGUGCGCUAACCCGCAAGGGGGGC
RNAcentral lists this ribosomal RNA (550 nucleotides) under uncultured Pseudomonadota bacterium. Its description in RNAcentral is "bacterial SSU rRNA". It matches the Rfam family "Bacterial small subunit ribosomal RNA", at positions 900 to 1450 of the family's 1533-position model. The record is from RNAcentral. Lineage: Bacteria; Pseudomonadati; Pseudomonadota.